GCAUAUCAAUAAGCGGAGGAAAAGAAACCAACCGGGGAUGCCCUAGUAACGGCGAGUGAAGCGGCAAGAGCUCAAAUUUGAAAGCUGGCUCCUUUCGGGGUCCGCAUUGUAAUUUGCAGAGGAUGCUUCGGGAGCGGUCCCCAUCUAAGUGCCCUGGAACGGGCCGUCAUAGAGGGUGAGAAUCCCGUAUGGGAUGGGGUGCCCGCGCCCGUGUGAAGCUCCUUCGACGAGUCGAGUUGUUUGGGAAUGCAGCUCUAAUUGGGUGGUAAAUUUCAUCUAAAGCUAAAUAUUGGCCGGAGACCGAUAGCGCACAAGUAGAGUGAUCGAAAGAUGAAAAGCACUUUGAAAAGAGAGUUAAACAGCACGUGAAAUUGUUGAAAGGGAAGCGCUUGCGAUCAGACUCGCUCGCGGGGUUCAGCCGGCCUUCGGGCCGGUGUACUUCCCCGCGGGCGGGCCAGCGUCGGUUUGGGCGGCCGGUCAAAGGCCCCUGGAAUGUAACGCCUCUCGGGGCGUCUUAUAGCCAGGGGUGCCAUGCGGCCUGCCCGGACCGAGGAACGCGCUUCGGCUCGGACGCUGGCAUAAUGGUCGUAAGCGACCCGUCUUGAAACACGGACCAAGGAGUCUAACAUCUACGCGAGUGUUCGGGUGUCAAACCCGUGCGCGCAGUGAAAGCGAACGGAGGUGGGAACCCCUCGGGGUGCACCAUCGACCGAUCCUGAUGUCUUCGGAUGGAUUUGAGUAAGAGCGUAGCUGUUGGGACCCGAAAGAUGGUGAACUAUGCCUGAAUAGGGCGAAGCCAGAGGAAACUCUGGUGGAGGCUCGCAGCGGUUCUGACGUGCAAAUCGAUCGUCAAAUUUGGGUAUAGGGGCGAAAGACUAAUCGAACCAUCUAGUAGCUGGUUCCUGCCGAAGU
Molecule: ribosomal RNA, 912 nt
Filed under: Penicillium cosmopolitanum
Lineage: Eukaryota; Fungi; Ascomycota; Eurotiomycetes; Eurotiales; Aspergillaceae
Description: LSU rRNA
Rfam family: Eukaryotic large subunit ribosomal RNA
Source: RNAcentral